CCUUGCCAGCCCGCUCAGAAACUUAAGGAAUUGACCGGGGCCCGCACAAGCGGAGGAGCAUGUGGUUAAUUCGAUGCAACGCGAAGAACCUUACCUGGUCUUGACAUCCCGGAGACCCUUAGGAAACUAGGGGGUGCUUCCAUCUGGAAGAAUCUGGAGACAGGUGCUGCAUGGCUGUCGUCAGCUCGUGUCGUGAGAUGUUGGGUUAAGUCCCGCAACGAGCGCAACCCUUGCCUUUAGUUGCCAGCAGUUCGGCUGGGCACUCUAAAGGGACUGCCGGUGUUAAACCGGAGGAAGGUGGGGAUGACGUCAAGUCCUCAUGGCCUUUAUGACCAGGGCUACACACGUACUACAAUGGCCGAUACAAAGGGCAGCGACACUGCGAGGUGAAGCCAAUCCCGUAAAAUCGGUCUCAGUCCGGAUUGGAGUCUGCAACUCGACUCCAUGAAGUUGGAAUCGCUAGUAAUCGUGGAUCAGCAUGCCACGGUGAAUACGUUCCCGGGCCUU
Molecule: ribosomal RNA, 507 nt
Filed under: uncultured Desulfobulbus sp.
Lineage: Bacteria; Pseudomonadati; Thermodesulfobacteriota; Desulfobulbia; Desulfobulbales; Desulfobulbaceae
Description: bacterial SSU rRNA
Rfam family: Bacterial small subunit ribosomal RNA
Source: RNAcentral